Molecule: ribosomal RNA, 492 nt
Filed under: uncultured bacterium
Lineage: Bacteria
Description: partial 16S ribosomal RNA
Rfam family: Bacterial small subunit ribosomal RNA
Source: RNAcentral
AGUGAACGCUGGCGGUAGGCCUAACACAUGCAAGUCGAACGGCAGCACAGUAAGAGCUUGCUCUUACGGGUGGCGAGUGGCGGACGGGUGAGGAAUACAUCGGAAUCUACUUUUUCGUGGGGGAUAACGUAGGGAAACUUACGCUAAUACCGCAUACGACCUACGGGUGAAAGCAGGGGAUCUUCGGACCUUGCGCGAUUGAAUGAGCCGAUGUCGGAUUAGCUAGUUGGCGGGGUAAAGGCCCACCAAGGCGACGAUCCGUAGCUGGUCUGAGAGGAUGAUCAGCGACACUGGGACUGGGACACGGUCCAGACUCCUACGGGAGGCACCAGUGGGGAAUAUUGGACAAUGGGCGCAAGCCUGAUCCAGCCAUACCGCGUGGGUGAAGAAGGCCUUCGGGUUGUAAAGCCCUUUUGUUGGGAAAGAAAAGCAGCAGGUUAAUACCCCGCUGUUCUGACGGUACCCAAAGAAUAAGCACCGGCUAACUUCGUG